AGAGUUUGAUCCUGGCUCAGGAUGAACUCUGGCGGCAUGCCUAAUACAUGCAAGUCGAACGAGAGACCUUCGGGUCUCUAGUGGCGAACGGGUGAGUAACACGUAGGGAACCUGCCCGCGCACCGGGAAUACGCUCUGGAAACGGAGAACAAAUCCCGAUGUACAGGAAGGAGGCAUCUUCUUUCUGUGAAACAUCCUUUAGGGGAUGGGGCGCGGAUGGACCUGCGGUGCAUUAGUUGGUUGGCGGGGUAAAGGCCCACCAAGACGAUGAUGCAUAGCCGGCCUGAGAGGGCGGACGGCCACAUUGGGACUGAGACACGGCCCAGACUCCUGCGGGAGGCAGCAGUAGGGAAUUUUCGUCAAUGGGCGCAAGCCUGAACGAGCGAUGCCGCGUGAGUGAAGAAGGCCUUCGGGUCGUAAAGCUCUGUUGCGGGGGAAAAAAGGCAGCAUCAGGAAAUGGGUGCUGACUGAUGGUGCCCCGCCAGAAAGUCACGGCUAACUACGUGCCAGCAGCCGCGGUAAUACGUAGGUGGCGAGCGUUAUCCGGAAUGAUUGGGCGUAAAGGGUGCGCAGGCGGUCCUGCAAGUCUGGAGUGAAACGCAUGAGCUCAACUCAUGCAUGGCUUUGGAAACUGGAGGACUGGAGAGCAGGAGAGGGCGGUGGAACUCCAUAUGUAGCGGUAAAAUGCGUAGAUAUAUGGAAGAACACCAGUGGCGAAGGCGGCCGCCUGGCCUGUUGCUGACGCUGAGGCACGAAAGCGUGGGGAGCAAAUAGGAUUAGAUACCCUAGUAGUCCACGCCGUAAACGAUGAGGACCAAGUGUUGGGGGUGAAACCUCAGUGCUGAAGUUAACGCAGUGAGUCCUCCGCCUGGGGAGUAUGCACGCAAGUGUGAAACUCAAAGGAAUUGACGGGGGCCCGCACAAGCGGUGGAGUAUGUGGUUUAAUUCGAAGCAACGCGAAGAACCUUGCCAAGUCUUGACAUCCCGGUGACCAGAGGGUAAUGCCUCUUUCUCUUCGGAGCACUGGAGACAGGUGGUGCAUGGUUGUCGUCAGCUCGUGUCGUGAGAUGUUGGGUUAAGUCCCGCAACGAGCGCAACCCUUAUUGUUAGUUGCUACGCAAGAGCACUCUAGCGAGACUGCCGUUGACAAAACGGAGGAAGGUGGGGACGACGUCAAAUCAUCAUGCCCCUUACGUCCUGGGCUUCACACGUAAUACAAUGGCGGCCAACAGAGGGAUGCAAAACCGCGAGGUGGAGCGAACCCCUAAAAGCCGUCCCAGUUCAGAUUGCAGUCUGCAACUCGACUGCAUGAAGUCGGAAUCGCUAGUAAUCGCGGAUCAGCAUGCCGCGGUGAAUACGUUCCCGGGCCUUGCACUCACCGCCCGUCA
This 1388-nucleotide ribosomal RNA is filed under the name uncultured bacterium. RNAcentral describes it as "bacterial SSU rRNA". It matches the Rfam family "Bacterial small subunit ribosomal RNA". The record is from RNAcentral.